RNAcentral lists this ribosomal RNA (229 nucleotides) under uncultured bacterium. RNAcentral's name for it is "partial 16S ribosomal RNA". It matches the Rfam family "Bacterial small subunit ribosomal RNA", at positions 15 to 253 of the family's 1533-position model. The record is from RNAcentral.
GAUCCUGGCUCAGGACGAACGCUGGCGGCAUGCUUAACACAUGCAAGUCGAACGGAUGUAGCAAUACAUCAGUGGCGGACGGGUGAGUAAUGCAUGAGCAACCUGCCCUAUGCAGGGGGAUAACACAAAGAAAUUUGUGCUAAUACCGCAUAAGCCCACGAGAGGGAAUCCUCAUGUGGGAAAAGAUUUAUCGGCAUAGGAUGGGCUCAUGUCCCAUUAGGUAGUUGGG